Molecule: ribosomal RNA, 490 nt
Filed under: uncultured Clostridiaceae bacterium
Lineage: Bacteria; Bacillati; Bacillota; Clostridia; Eubacteriales; Clostridiaceae
Description: partial 16S ribosomal RNA
Source: RNAcentral
CACGUAGUUAGCCGUGGCUUCCUCCUUGGGUACCGUCAUUAUCGUCCCCCAAAGACAGAGCUUUACAACCCGAAGGCCUUCAUCACUCACGCGGCGUUGCUGCAUCAGGGUUUCCCCCAUUGUGCAAUAUUCCCCACUGCUGCCUCCCGUAGGAGUCUGGGCCGUGUCUCAGUCCCAACGUGGCCGAUCACCCGUCUCAGGUCGGCUACGCAUCGUCGCCUUGGUGAGCCAUUACCUCACCAACUAGCUAAUGCGCCGCGGGUCCAUCUUAUAGCGGAUUGCUCCUUUGGUUAUCGAUCCAUGCGAAUCAACAACUUUAUGCGGUAUUAACUCUUCCUUUCGGAAGGCUAUCCCCCGUCUAUAAGGCAGGUUACCCACGUGUUACUCACCCGUCCGCCGCUAAUCCGUUCCCGAAGGAACUUCAUCGCUCGACUUGCAUGUGUUAGGCACGCCGCCAGCGUUCGUCUCGUAGCCACGGACUCGUAAACUC